This 332-nucleotide ribosomal RNA is filed under the name uncultured Bacillota bacterium. Its description in RNAcentral is "bacterial SSU rRNA". It matches the Rfam family "Bacterial small subunit ribosomal RNA", at positions 28 to 351 of the family's 1533-position model. Lineage: Bacteria; Bacillati; Bacillota. The record is from RNAcentral.
GACGAACGCUGGCGGCGUGCCUAAUACAUGCAAGUCGAGCGAACAUUUGAGAGCUUGCUCUCAAAUGUUAGCGGCGGACGGGUGAGUAACACGUGGGCAACCUGCCUAUAAGACUGGGAUAACUUCGGGAAACCGGAGCUAAUACCGGAUAAUUCACAUCUACACAUGUAGAUGUGCUGAAAGACGGUUUACGCUGUCACUUAUAGAUGGGCCCGCGGCGCAUUAGCUAGUUGGUGAGGUAAUGGCUCACCAAGGCGAUGACGGGUAGGGGACCUGAGAGGGUGACCCCCACAAUGGAACUGAAACACGGUCCAUACACCUACGGGUGGCAG